Molecule: unclassified non-coding RNA, 146 nt
Filed under: soil metagenome
Description: partial internal transcribed spacer 1
Source: RNAcentral
CCGAGUUUACAACUCCCAAACCCCUGUGACAUACCACUUGUUGCCUCGGCGGAUCAGCCCGCUCCCGGUAAAACGGGACGGCCCGCCAGAGGACCCCUAAACUCUGUUUCUAUAUGUAACUUCUGAGUAAAACCACAAAUAAAUCA